Phyllopteryx taeniolatus (common seadragon) is the source of this 2598-nucleotide long non-coding RNA. RefSeq lists it as uncharacterized. The transcript has 3 exons. Lineage: Eukaryota; Metazoa; Chordata; Actinopteri; Syngnathiformes; Syngnathidae. The record is from RefSeq and is a predicted model, not a curated record.
UGUUGAAGAUCCCAUCUGUCUCAUUGCCUGUUGUUGAUCAUAAUGUUGUCAUAACGUUAAACUAACCACAAUAUUAGGGACAGCCAUAGCUCGAUCACCAAAUAUUUCGAUUCACAUCGUCAGAGUUGUUCAUUUUUCGAACCAUACGUUUAUUAUUACGCGUGUAUCUUGCAGUGGUGCACAAUGAGGGUUGAUAUCUGAAAUAUCUUUAUAACAGUGUAAAACAAAGGCCAUUUUUUUUUCUCCGAGUAUUGACCUUUUAGAUGUACAAGUGUGCCUAAUAUUGUGGCAGAUUAGUGUAUCUAAUGUGUGUGUGCGUGUGGUUCUAUUAAAUCACCCGAGCAGCACAAACUGAUGAUGAUGGGAGUCAAGCGCUCUCUCCACUUUAUUGCAGAGUAAAUCUCCUCGUUAUCAGUUGCUGUCAGGUUUCCUGCGCGCGUGUGUGUGUGUGUGUGUGUGUGUGUGGGUGUGUAGUCCGCUGAUAAACAGAUUUCCCCUGAAGACAAAUUUCUUACAGAAGACGAGUUCACCCCCACCCGUCAGAGUGUGAAAUCGUGUGUGGAAAUGGGAAAAUGGCCUUUCCCCCGGAAUAAGCUGGUUCUGAUGAUGUCAUACAAGAUGCGGCACACCCUACGUCCCCGGUAGCAUCGGCACCAAAAAGGCCCACCGCAACCUUUUCCUGAAAUGCAACAAGCGCCCGCAAAAAUGCAGCCCCUUGAAUUAAGCCAGUUUCACUUAGCAGCAUGAAAGUCGUGACCGAAGCGGACACGACGGAGACGCGUGAUGUCAUCCUCCUGCGGGGCUUCGCACAUUUCGCUCGCUCACGCUGACACGCCGCACAAAGUGUGAUCGCUCCCGCGUGGCUUGAUGAUUCACAGCGUACCAUCAAUCAUCCGCAAAGAGCACAAAGAGCGAGGUCACAGCGUUAGUGUAAAAAAAAAAGAAAAGAAAAAAAAGUCAAAUAUUGUGCAGGAUGGAGCUUGUCUUAACUGUCUGAGAGAAGAUAAAUAAGAGAAUUAAGAAUCAUUUGUACUAUUUGGAGGACAAGCGCUGUUAAAUUUUGAUGGAGGUCAGAGUUACUGGAUGUUGUCAUUGACCUAGACUUUUGGAUAUUUGAUAUCAUAUUAUUUUAUGAUGACACCAUGUGCCGUGCAAAUACAAUGACAAAAACUGAAAUUGUGUCGUCCAUCUGCCUCGUAUAAGUGCUCUAACUUUGUUAGCAAAGGGGCAAACGCUGUAGUUUGUUUUUGGAGGACCGCAGGAAGUGGCCAAAAUGACCCUGCAAUGGCUGCUUCAAAACAAAAUGGCAGACUUGCUGUGUGUCUUGAGACACUUUUGUUGGUCUACUCAUCACAGACAUGCCUACCAAAUUUCACAUUGCUAAGUCAAACUGGCUUCGGUGGGGGGGCUGAAUUUCCCCAAAUGCCGCGAUGUUUGUCGCUACCGAACUCCUAUCUUCACCAGGAUCCAAACGUGGAUUUCGUUGCACGCUCUGACUUAAACGAUCCGAAUGAGGCUUCGCCCACUUUUGUGUUCACUUCAGGACGACUGCAGCAGCAUUCAGAACGACAGAGAACAAAGCGGCUUAUUCACAGACUCACACGGGCUCUUCUAUCACUAAGGGAAUAAUAAGUAAGGAGCCCAAUAAGCCGGGAAUAUAUAUAUAUAGAUAUAUAUAUAUAUUUUAAAAAGUAUGCGUUCCGUUUCAGCAACCUCAGCGGAGUUCAGGUGAAUGCCAAUUUCUUCUACUUCCUUUGUCCUUCACCUCCUUCGAUGUGGUCCGAGUUGUCCUCAAUGGACGUUGGACUUAGCUUAGCGAGCCGCAAUAGCACAGAGCAGACAGUCGGGGGGGCCAGUAAACCACCAAAAAGGUGGUUUUGUGUGUGGAUGUUACAACUUUUGUAACCAAACACUUUGGUACAGUCCUCAUUUGUUACUGUCUUAGGGUUUCCAUUUUUGGCAUUUUCUCUCGAGACCAUUUUCAUCAUUAACCUUCUUCUUGAGGCAAUUUGGGCCACAGAAGCAUUUUUGUUCUUUUUUGUGUGUGUGUGUGUGUGUGCGCAGGCUUUCUUCCUAAAAGAGGCUUGCUUUCGCCUUCGCUCCAGUGAUGAAUGAGGUGUCAGCGUCCUUCAACGCACCCCAUUAGUCGAGUUUUACCGCGGAAAUAUAUCGGAUUCGUAGUCGUUCAUCCUCGUCAAUGUUGAGAUUUGUUUUGGGCGGUACGGAAGCCGCUGCAUCUUCGUCAGUUUUGAAUCAUUUAUUACUCACGUCCACAUCCCGUCGCGAAAAUAGAUGACGCGUCAUAAACGCUUCAUAAUAAUUUCAAAUAAUUAUUUGAAAAAAUAAAAUACAGAUACUUCAUGUUUUGAUCAUAUGGGUAGGAGCAAAAUCAUGCAUUGUAAACAUGCAUUAUACAUAGGGUGAAGGGCUUUCCAGAAUUUUGAGGUCAACUUUGGGGGUGCGUAUUAUACACGGGUGCGCAUUACACACGAGAAAUUACGGCACUCACUAUUACGCACAAAACUCUAAUAACGCACUGCCAAAAGAUAAAGAUGAAUUGUAAUGAACUUGCUCUGUUUUUCUUCUCUUUUUUUUUUU